GACGAACGCUGGCGGCGUGCUUAACACAUGCAAGUCGAACGGAAAGGCCUGCUUUCCCUUGUGGUUUGCGGGUACUCGAGUGGCGAACGGGUGAGUAACACGUGAGUGAUCUGCCCCCAACUUGGGUAUAAGCCUGGGAAACUGGGUCUAAUUCCCGAUAGGACUGCAGGGUGGUGCCGGUGGUGGAAAACGAUUUUCUAGUGGUUGGGGAUGAGCUGGCGGCCUAUCAGCUUGUUGGUGGGGUAAUGGCCUACAAAGGCGGCGACGGGUAGCCGGCCUGGGAGGGUGGACAGUGGAACUGAGACAGGGUCACGGCCCCGACGCGAAGGAGCAGUAGCAGAGGGGACGAAAGGGGCGUGAGCGGGAGCGUGCAGCAGCGCGGGAGUGUUGGAGAUGAUCGGCUUGGAAUUGUAUGCUCCUUGCGACGGAGAGGAGGCCACGUGGUUGGACGGGUCGUGACGGUAGUGAUAGAAGAAGCACCGGCUAACUACGUG
This 494-nucleotide ribosomal RNA is filed under the name uncultured bacterium. RNAcentral describes it as "partial 16S ribosomal RNA". It matches the Rfam family "Bacterial small subunit ribosomal RNA", at positions 28 to 507 of the family's 1533-position model. The record is from RNAcentral.